GACGAACGCUGGCGGCGUGCUUAACACAUGCUAGUCGAACGAUGAAGCCUAGCUUGCUAGGUGGAUUAGUGGCGAACGGGUGAGUAAUACGUGAGUGACCUACCUUUGACUCUGGGAUAAGCCUGGGAAACUGGGUCUAAUACCGGAUACGACCAAUCUCUGCAUGGGGUGUUGGUGGAAAGCGUUAUGGAGUGGUUUUAGAUGGGCUCACGGCCUAUCAGCUUGUUGGUGAGGUAAUGGCUUACCAAGGCGACGACGGGUAGCCGGCCUGAGAGGGUGACCGGCCACACUGGGACUGAGACACGGCCCAGACUCCUACGGGAGGCAGCAGUGGGGAAUAUUGCACAAUGGGCGCAAGCCUGAUGCAACGACGCCGCGUGAGGGAUGACGGCCUUCGGGUUGUAAACCUCUGUUAGCAUCCAAGAAGCUAAAGUGACGGUAGGUGCAUAGAAAGCGCCGGCUAACUACGUGCCAUCAGCCGCGAGUAUACGUAUGGCGCGAGCGUCGUCAGGAAUUAUUGCUCAUAAAGAGCUUGUAGGCGGUUGGUCGCGUCUGCUGUGAAAGGCCGGGGUUUAACUCCGGAUUUUGCAUUGGGUACGGGCUAACUAGAGUGCCGUAAGGGAGACUGGAUUUCCUGGUGUAGCGGUGGAAUGCACAAAUAUCAGGAGGAACACCGAUGGCGAAGGCAGGUCUCUGGGUUGUAACUGACGCUGAGAAGCGAAAGCAUGGGGAGCGAACAGGAUUAGAUACCCUGGUAGUCCAUGCCGUAAACAUUGGGCACUAGGUGUGGGGGACAUUCCACGUUUUCCGCGCCGUAACUAACGCAUUAAGUGCCCCGCCUGGGGAGUACGGCCGCAAGGCUAAAACUCAGAGGAAUUGACGGGGGCCCGCACAAGCGGCGGAGCAUGCGGAUUAAUUCGAUGCAACGCGAAGAACCUUACCAAGGCUUGACAUGCAUUAGAUCGCGUCAGAGAUGGCGUUUCCCUUCGGGGCUGGUGUACAGGUGGUGCAUGGUUGUCGUCAGCUCGUGUCGUGAGAUGUUGGGUUAAGUCCCGCAACGAGCGCAACCCUCCUUCUAUGUUGCCAGCGGUUCGGCCGGGGACUCAUAGGAGACUGCCGGGGUUAACUCGGAGGAAGGUGGGGAUGACGUCAAAUCAUCAUGCCCCUUAUGUCUUGGGCUUCACGCAUGCUACAAUGGCCGGUACAGAGGGUUGCGAUACUGUGAGGUGGAGCUAAUCCCUUAAAGCCGGUCUCAGUUCGGAUUGGGGUCUGCAACUCGACCCCACGAAGUCGGAGUCGCUAGUAAUCGCAGAUCAGCAACGCUGCGGUGAAUACGUUCCCGGGCCU
Molecule: ribosomal RNA, 1347 nt
Filed under: uncultured bacterium
Lineage: Bacteria
Description: bacterial SSU rRNA
Rfam family: Bacterial small subunit ribosomal RNA
Source: RNAcentral